This 284-nucleotide long non-coding RNA is filed under the name Zostera marina. Its description in RNAcentral is "long non-coding RNA (ZMAR_LNC001699)". Lineage: Eukaryota; Viridiplantae; Streptophyta; Magnoliopsida; Alismatales; Zosteraceae. The record is from RNAcentral.
GAGUUUGCCACUAAAUAGGCGAUUCCAUAUUUACGACCGUUACUCAUCGCCUGCCUACGUCAUAAUGGGCCAUUAAUGCGUCCUGUUAUGACAACAGGAGCGAUGCCCGCCGCGGAGCGCGCCCCCAAAGACUCUAUAAAAAGGGUCCCAAGGGGUCACUCCAAGGCAGAAUACAAGUUCCAACCAAACUAGAGCAUACCAGAGAGAAUCGUCGAUUUUCACACCAGAAUCGCCUAUUCUUCUUUGACAGAAUUUGACGUAGAGCGCGCGUCGUAGACUCUAGA